Long non-coding RNA from Cyprinus carpio (common carp), 1271 nucleotides. RefSeq lists it as uncharacterized. Lineage: Eukaryota; Metazoa; Chordata; Actinopteri; Cypriniformes; Cyprinidae. The record is from RefSeq and is a predicted model, not a curated record.
GUUCCAGUAUCAUUUUGCUUGAGUACCAGCCAACUUUCCGAGACAUGACGCGUGCAGAGGCUUUGCAACACAAGAACUGCGAGCAGUGCUGGUGUAAUGCUCUGACCCUCAUGCGGAUACAGUACACAUACAACCUCUGUAUGCUUUCUGUAGUGGAAGAAUAAAUGUCUGAAGAAAAUUAAAAAUUACUUUUGCAUGCCAUCACAUCCUUUGAAAAGCAUUGGAGUUAAAUAACUAAUGUCAACUUUUUCGGCUUUGGCAUGUUUGUACUGUCCUGAUUUGAAGUGGAUUCUUUACAGCAGAAAACAAAUCUAACAUUUGGAUGAAUAAGCCCAAGAUUUGAUGAAUAGCUAAACUUUCAUAGUUUGUCAUCAGUGGUUAAAACAACAUUUACCUGUUCACUGGCUGAAGCGGAUGAUCUGAAUUUCCUCCGGUAUGAGAACUGUUAUGGGAAACUCUGUGCACAGAACUGCAUCUUGCAUUCUCAAACCCCCUCCUUUUGUGACCACUGGAAGGAUUGAAGGGACGAACCCAUCUGUCUCCAGCGAAACGGAAGGGACAGAUGACCUCUACAGCCCUGAAUGUCAGUGGAAACCAGGACAACUGCACAAUGAGUCCUCUUAGGGGGUUAGAAUUCCAGGAAACGUGAGCAGAGGGUGGAUGGAGGUGGAGAGCAUGACGGAGCACAACCCCACCACUAGAUGACAGCAUUCUACCAUGAUUUAUCACCAUGGAACCAAGGUUUGAGAGAGAGACCUCAAACUUUACCAGUAAAUGCACAUUUAUGGAUUGGCAGUCAGAAACUAGAAGCUUCAAACCAGCAACCUUGCUGUUAACAGUGCCAUGCUUUAGCACUGGGGUGUCAAACUUAAUUCCUGGAGGGCCAAAGCCCUGCAGAGAUUAGAUUUAACCCUAAUUAAACACACCUGAUCCUAUUAAGUCCUUUAGGCUUAUUUGAAAACUAUAUGUGUUGGAGGAGUCUAGAGUCUAGAGUCUCUCCAGAUUGUGGAAAACAAUGUUUUUUUUUUUUUUUUUAUUACACAACUUCAAUACCAAAUAAAGAAAUUUGAAAGCAUUCAUCAUCAUGUAUUAUUUAUCUUUUUCUUGGACCAAGUUUUUUGGGUUUACCUUAAAUGUAAACCAUUAUUAUACACUUUCUGUUAUUCAUCAAGGUUGACAAAUACUCCAUGCAAAAAGCAGUCAUGCAGAACUUAGGCUAGUUCAUAAGCUUGUGGUUAUUAAAGGAAUAGUUCACCCCCCCCCCCACAAAG